AGAACAGAUGCCACGCAGCCGCAUUUCUGUGUCAACACCUUGUCAUUAUAGGAUUUGGCUGUAGUGUUUGAGGGAACAACCGGGGGACGACGAACAGUGCAAUUAUGGUUCUGGGGGCAGAAGGGGGCACCUGCUUAACCGUAAUGCAAUGAUUCAUGAGUCAAAAAAGCAGAUGUCGGUUAAAUGAGAAAGAAUGUGAAAAGUGAACUGAACAAUAUGGUUAGAAAGUAGAACAAGAGACGAUUGGGAAGAUUUGAAUCGUUUAAUGAAAGUUAUAGGUUACUCAGG
Molecule: non-coding RNA, 288 nt
Organism: Caenorhabditis elegans
Lineage: Eukaryota; Metazoa; Nematoda; Chromadorea; Rhabditida; Rhabditidae
Source: Ensembl